RNAcentral lists this microRNA precursor (66 nucleotides) under Myotis lucifugus (little brown bat). RNAcentral describes it as "miRNA (ENSMLUG00000024178.1)". The record is from RNAcentral. Lineage: Eukaryota; Metazoa; Chordata; Mammalia; Chiroptera; Vespertilionidae.
GUGUGUGUGUGUAUAUGUGUAUACAUACACACACACACACACACACACACACACACACACACACAU